RNAcentral lists this ribosomal RNA (454 nucleotides) under uncultured bacterium. RNAcentral describes it as "partial 16S ribosomal RNA". It matches the Rfam family "Bacterial small subunit ribosomal RNA", at positions 28 to 507 of the family's 1533-position model. The record is from RNAcentral.
GAUGAACGCUGACAGAAUGCUUAACACAUGCAAGUCAACUUGAACUUCGGUUUGGGUGGCGGACGGGUGAGUAACGCGUACAGAACUUGCCUCACAGCUAGGGACAACAUUUGGAAACGAAUGCUAAUACCUGAUAUUAUGAUUAUAUGGCAUCGUAUAAUUAUGAAAGCUAUAUGCGCUGUGAGAGAGCUUUGCGUCCCAUUAGCUAGUUGGGGAGGUAACAGCUCACCAAGGCGAUGAUGGGUAGCCGGCCUGAGAGGGUGAUCGGCCACAAGGGGACUGAGACACGGCCCUUACUCCUACGGGAGGCAGCAGUGGGGAAUAUUGGACAAUGGACCGAGAGUCUGAUCCAGCAAUUCUGUGUGCACGAUGAAGUUUUUCGGAAUGUAAAGUGCUUUCAGUUGGGAAGAAAAAAAUGACGGUACCAACAGAAGAAGUGACGGCUAAAUACGUG